GUAACAAGGUUUCCGUAGGUGAACCUGCGGAAGGAUCAUUAAAGCGUUGCCGACGUCGGCCCCGGCCGUUCGGCUUGAAAUAUAGCCUGGACGGUGCUGGAGGUCGCCGGCAGUUGCCCAUUCUUGCCUACUGACCCAGUUGCCUCGGCGAGCCGUGCCACUCGUGGCAGACCGGAAGCCGUUUGAACCCCUAGGGCUCAGGCGGCCCUGGCCAGUGCCCGCCGACGGACAGACUUAAAAUCUUUAUAUAUUGGCCGUCUGAGCGUAUAAAGCAAAUCAAUUAAAACUUUCAACAACGGAUCUCUUGGUUCCGGCAUCGAUGAAGAACGCAGCGAAAUGCGAUAAGUAAUGUGAAUUGCAGAAUUCCGUGAAUCAUCGAAUCUUUGAACGCACAUUGCGCCCCCUGGUAUUCCGGGGGGCAUGCCUGUUCGAGCGUCAUUGCAACCCUCAAGCUCGGCUUGUGUGAUGGGCGACCGUCCUUCCCCUAGGGGCGGGACGCGUCCGAAAAGCAGUGGCUAGGCCGCGAUUCCGGCGCCUGAGCGAAUGGGACUUCCACCGCUUCUAGGACCGGCCGGCACUUGGCCUUUAAACACGGUCUUAACUGACCAUCUAGGUUGACCUCGGAUCAGGUAGGGAUACCCGCUGAACCUAAGCAUA
This 657-nucleotide unclassified non-coding RNA is filed under the name Arthroderma quadrifidum. RNAcentral's name for it is "sequence contains 18S rRNA gene, ITS1, 5.8S rRNA gene, ITS2, 28S rRNA gene". The stretch from base 285 to 438 matches the Rfam family "5.8S ribosomal RNA". The record is from RNAcentral. Lineage: Eukaryota; Fungi; Ascomycota; Eurotiomycetes; Onygenales; Arthrodermataceae.